UWGAGUUUGAUCAUGGCUCAGAUUGAACGCUGGCGGCAGGCCUAACACAUGCAAGUCGAGCGGAAACGAUGGAAGCUUGCUUCCAGGCGUCGAGCGGCGGACGGGUGAGUAAUGCAUGGGAAUCUGCCCGAUAGUGGGGGAUAACCUGGGGAAACCCAGGCUAAUACCGCAUACGUCCUACGGGAGAAAGCAGGGGAUCUUCGGACCUUGCGCUAUCGGAUGAGCCCAUGUCGGAUUAGCUUGUUGGUGAGGUAAUGGCUCACCAAGGCGACGAUCCGUAGCUGGUCUGAGAGGAUGAUCAGCCACAUCGGGACUGAGACACGGCCCGAACUCCUACGGGAGGCAGCAGUGGGGAAUAUUG
Molecule: ribosomal RNA, 361 nt
Filed under: Halomonas sp. M17-C15
Lineage: Bacteria; Pseudomonadati; Pseudomonadota; Gammaproteobacteria; Oceanospirillales; Halomonadaceae
Description: bacterial SSU rRNA
Rfam family: Bacterial small subunit ribosomal RNA
Source: RNAcentral